Molecule: small nuclear RNA, 24 nt
Filed under: Arabidopsis thaliana (thale cress)
Lineage: Eukaryota; Viridiplantae; Streptophyta; Magnoliopsida; Brassicales; Brassicaceae
Description: snRNA_05205
Source: RNAcentral
UUUGAAAUCCAAUAAAUGUCUAAC